Molecule: ribosomal RNA, 497 nt
Filed under: uncultured bacterium
Lineage: Bacteria
Description: partial 16S ribosomal RNA
Rfam family: Bacterial small subunit ribosomal RNA
Source: RNAcentral
GAUGAACGCUGGCGGCGUGCCUAAUACAUGCAAGUCGAGCGAACAGACGAGGAGCUUGCUCCUCUGACGUUAGUGGCGGACGGGUGAGUAACACGUGGAUAACCUACCUAUAAGACUGGGAUAACUUCGGGAAACCGGAGCUAAUUCCGGAUAAUAUAUUGAACCGCAUGGUUCAAUAGUGAAAGACGGUUUUGCUGUCACUUAUAGAUGGAUCCGCGCCGCAUUAGCUAGUUGGUAAGGUAACGGCUUACCAAGGCAACGAUGCGUAGCCGACCUGAGAGGGUGAUCGGCCACACUGGAACUGAGACACGGUCCAGACUCCUACGGGAGGCAGCAGUAGGGAAUCUUCCGCAAUGGGCGAAAGCCUGACGGAGCAACGCCGCGUGAGUGAUGAAGGUCUUCGGAUCGUAAAACUCUGUUAUUAGGGAAGAACAAAUGUGUAAGUAACUAUGCACGUCUUGACGGUACCUAAUCAGAAAGCCACGGCUAACUACGUG